RNAcentral lists this ribosomal RNA (429 nucleotides) under Acidobacteriota bacterium. Its description in RNAcentral is "Acidobacteria bacterium partial 16S ribosomal RNA". It matches the Rfam family "Bacterial small subunit ribosomal RNA", at positions 355 to 776 of the family's 1533-position model. The record is from RNAcentral. Lineage: Bacteria; Pseudomonadati; Acidobacteriota.
UGGGGAAUUUUGGACAAUGGGGGAAACCCUGAUCCAGCCAUCCCGCGUGUGCGAUGAAGGCCUUCGGGUUGUAAAGCACUUUUGGCAGGAAAGAAACGUCAUGGGUUAAUACCCCGUGAAACUGACGGUACCUGCAGAAUAAGCACCGGCUAACUACGUGCCAGCAGCCGCGGUAAUACGUAGGGUGCAAGCGUUAAUCGGAAUUACUGGGCGUAAAGCGUGCGCAGGCGGUUCGGAAAGAAAGAUGUGAAAUCCCAGAGCUCAACUUUGGAACUGCAUUUUUAACUACCGGGAUAGAGUGUGUCAGAGGGAGGUGGAAUUCCGCGUGUAGCAGUGAAAUGCGUAGAUAUGCGGAGGAACACCGAUGGCGAAGGCAGCCUCCUGGGAUAACACUGACGCUCAUGCACGAAAGCGUGGGGAGCAAACAGG